Molecule: non-coding RNA, 112 nt
Organism: Acanthosepion pharaonis
Lineage: Eukaryota; Metazoa; Mollusca; Cephalopoda; Sepiida; Sepiidae
Source: the annotation of a GenBank genome assembly
UUACGGCCACAUCACGUUGAAACACCGGUUCCCGUACGAUCACCGAAGUUAAGCAACGUCGAUCCUGGUCAGUACCUACAUGGGUGACGGCUUGAAAAUACUAGCUUUUGUA